AUGGAGGGUUUUGACCUAGAAAAAACCCAUAAGGAAUCUUUCGGGACGAAGCGCCGCCAUCUCGAGGCGGAACCUGGGCAGAAGCAAUCUAGGGAUCCAGUGGAGCUAUUCUGUCGGGGAAACUUCCCUCCGGGAGGAGGAAAUCGAAGCCAUCGUCAUCACCAACGAUCCUCUCACCAAGGGAGGGUCAAUCUUCAUCAACAUCUUCACCAACAACAUCUCCUCUCAAACCCUAGUUCAUCUCUUGUAUUCAAUCUUUGUCCCAAAACCUCAGAUUGGUACCUGUGGGUUGCUAGUAGUGUUGAUUACUCCUUGUAG
RNAcentral lists this ribosomal RNA (318 nucleotides) under Triticum aestivum (bread wheat). Its description in RNAcentral is "partial small subunit ribosomal RNA". The record is from RNAcentral. Lineage: Eukaryota; Viridiplantae; Streptophyta; Magnoliopsida; Poales; Poaceae.